GUACUUGCUUUGGCAACACAUACACUAAAAUUCAAACAAUACAGAGAAGAUUAGCAUGGUUCCUGUGCAAGGAUGACAUGCAAAUUCGUGAAGCGUUCCAUAUUCUU
Molecule: small nuclear RNA, 107 nt
Organism: Jaculus jaculus (lesser Egyptian jerboa)
Lineage: Eukaryota; Metazoa; Chordata; Mammalia; Rodentia; Dipodidae
Source: RefSeq, a predicted model, not a curated record